This 3322-nucleotide long non-coding RNA is filed under the name Prunus persica (peach). Its description in RNAcentral is "long non-coding RNA (PPER_LNC007442)". Lineage: Eukaryota; Viridiplantae; Streptophyta; Magnoliopsida; Rosales; Rosaceae. The record is from RNAcentral.
UGGCGAUGAGAGAAUUAUUGUGUUCACCACAAACCACAAGGAUCGGCUUGAUACUGCAUUGCUGCGUCCUGGUCGAAUGGACGUCCACAUUCACCUGUCCUAUUGCACCACCAGUGGGUUCAGGAUCUUGGCCUCUAACUACCUUGGCAUUGGUGACAACAAUCGUCACUGCCGUUGUGGCGAAAUUGAAGGGUUGAUAGAGAGCACAGAGGUGACUCCUGCAGAGGUUGCCGAGGAGCUCAUGAAGAGUGAAGAUGCUGAUGUUGCUCUUCAAGGACUUGUCAAUUUGCUCAAGCGUAAGAAGGCCGAGAGCGAGAAAAAAAAAUUGCUUAUCAAGAACAAGAAGCCACGAGGCAGAAAAGGGAUAACAAAGUUGCUGGGGUUCAUCUUCCCUGCAAUACAUUCUGAUGCAUGAUGAUGAUGGCCUCCCAUCCAUCUCCUAGUUUAGGUUUCAAAUCUUAGAUAAAACCUAAACCCUUUUGAGAUACAUAUAGCUUUCGAGCUCAUCUCCUAGUUUAUGUUUCAAAUCUGAGAUAAACUCUAAACCCUUUUUGAGAAACAUAUAGCUUUAGAGCACUCUUUAUGCUAUUUUAUCUGAUGUAAUGACUUAAAUGAUUUAUGAACUCAAGAAAUGAAAGCACACAGAACCAAUGGCAGAUAGCAAAGUGAAUCACACACCAUCUCAUAAACUAAUUCACAUACAGGGGAGAAAAAUUAAAAUGCUUAUACUUUUAAUUAUGAUUCGAAUAUGACUUGCUUUUUGUCCUUAAUUGUGUUGUUUGAUUGAUGUAAUGACUUGCUGAACUUGGUUUUCUGAACCGAUCAAGAAUGGAAAAACAAGCAAAUUAAUUAAGUUGUAUGAUCCAGAAUUCCAGAUGCAUGUGAUGUGUGUGGGAAAUGCUAAUAUGCAAGUAGGAUAUAGAGAUGAUAGGGUCAUUUGCAAUUACAGAGCUCCGAGAUUUCAAGCAAUUAUAGGCUGUUUAUUCUUUUCUAAUUUAUAUGUGAAUGUGCGAAUGAGUGGGGACUCGGAAGUGUGCUCUGUCCUAUAAAAAUUCAGAGCAACAAAGCAGCAGGGUGAGAAAUGUGCUUCAAAAUUUAAUCUAAAGCAAAGGAUUAGUGGUUCGGAGUAAUUGCUCAUUUAGGUAAGGUUCUGUGUUCGAGUCCUAGCAUUCCAUGUUGUGUAUGUGAAUUUAGUAUAUUAUUGUCUCUCUUAAUUGAAAUUUUUUUUAAAAAAAUAAAUCUAAAAGGCCCAAAUCAGUUUGACAAAAACAAAAAGGCCCAAAUCAAGGAAAAUUCCAUCAGAGCUUGAGAAACCCAAAUCCAGGAAAAGAUCAAUGUGGUCAAACUCACAACUCCAAUCUCUCUUCCUCAUGAGGGAAGUUGCAGAGCAACAGAGUCAAACCUCUACAAUAUUCUCUUCAUGCAAUUCAAAUUAUGUGUGACAAAAAAUUUCAUGCUUUUAUUGUUGUUGAAGAAAUGCACUUGGUAUGCGUUUAGUACAAAUAAGUCUUUGCUCCUAUAUAUAUAUAUAUAUAUAUAUAUAUAUAUAUAUAUAUAUAUGCAGACAGAUGAACUUAACUGCUACAAACCAAUCACCAAUUCUUCUUUUAGCAGCAAAAAUGAGUGCAUCUCUCUGAAACAGAGAGACUCUUCCUGGUAAUCAAAAAAACUGCUGCCCUAAAGAAUCAAUACCAUCUCAAGUUUUCGAAACAAACACAAUGUUUUCUCUCAAAGAUCUGAAAGGUCAGAUGCCAACAACAGCAUCCACUCUGUUCUCAGCCUACGCCUCCUUCGCAACAUGCAUGAUGCUGCUCCGUUCCAUGGCCAAGGAACUCAUCCCUGAGCCUUUCCGCACCUACCUAUUCUCGGCCAUCAAUUACCUUCUUACGCCUUUCUUCUCCACCAAGUUCACUCUAAUCGUCGACGAGCACUCCAGCAUGAUACGAAACCAAGUUUACGACGCCGCCGACGUCUACCUCCGGACAAAGAUCGGCCCCUCCACUGAGCGCCUCCGUGUCAGCAAGACGCCCCGCAAGAAGGACAACUCCGUCGCCAUGACGAAAGACGAGGAGGUCGCCGACACCUUUGACAACGUCAAGCUCCGGUGGCGUUUCUUGUCAGAGAGCAAGAAGGUGGGCAAGAAUAACAAGAAUGUUGAGAAGCAAUUCUUUGAGCUCACCUUCAGCAAGAAGCACAAAGACAAGGUUUUGAACUCUUACUUGCCCUUUGUGCUUGCUCGAGCCGAAGCCAUCAAGGACGAGCAAAAGGUUGUCAAGCUUUACACCCGCCAUCUCUGGCCAAGCAGCAGCCACAACGACGAGGAGGAGGAAGGCAAUUCUUACUGGGGCUCGGUGAAUCUGGAGCACCCAUCUACAUUUGAGACAAUGGCCAUGGAGCCGGAGCUUAAGAGAGCCAUUGUAGAGGACAUGGACAGGUUUGUGAGGAGGAGGGAGUUUUAUAAGAAGGUGAGGAAGGCUUGGAAGAGAGGCUACUUGUUGUAUGGCCCUCCUGGUACUGGUAAAUCGAGCUUGAUUGCGGCCAUGGCUAACUAUCUCAAGUUUAAUGUGUAUGAUUUGGAGCUUGCAAGUAUUUACAGCGACUCUCAUUUGAGGAGGGUGCUGCUGUCCACCACAAAUCGUUCUAUUUUGGUAAUCGAGGAUAUUGAUUGCUGCAGAGUGGAUGCUGGAAACAGGGCAGCGGAUUCAAAAUCGAAAUCGAAAUCGGAUUCUGAAGACCGGGUUAGUACCUGUUUUCUGUGUGUUUUUAUUUUUAUUUUUAUUUGCCUGUAUCUUAUUUUGAUGAUCAUAGGUUCAAUCUUUUACUACAUGUAAGGCUAAGUUACAAUUUUGAUUCCACUAGUUUGAAGUUUGAACCAUAUUCCACUAAGUCCUUUUAGUUUUAUUUUGAUAGUUUUAUUUCAUAUGUGAUUUGGUCAUUUGUCCUGUUAAUUAAAUUAGAUUUUUACAUGGCCUCAUGAUCUAAUUGCAGGUGACACUACCAGGCUUCCUGAACUUCAUAGAUGGUUUGUGGUCAAGCUGUGGUGAUGAGAGAAUUAUUGUGUUCACCACAAACCACAGGGAUCGGCUUGACCCUGCAUUGCUGCGUCCUGGUCGAAUGGAUGUCCACAUUCACCUGUCCUACUGCACAGCAAGUGGGUUCAGGAUCUUGGCCUCUAACUACCUUGGCAUUGCCGUUGACAACCGUCACCGCCUCUGCGGAGAAAUUGAAGGAUUGAUAGCGAGCACAGAGGUGACCCCUGCAGAGGUUGCCGAGGAACUCAUGAAGAGUGAUGACACUGAUUUUGCUCUUCAAGGACUUGUCA